AUUCUCUUAGUAUUAAUCAGUACAAUUGACUUCCAAUCAUUUAGCUCUGGAACAACCCAGAAGAGAAUA
This 69-nucleotide transfer RNA is filed under the name Marmota vancouverensis (Vancouver Island marmot). RNAcentral describes it as "tRNA-Gly". Lineage: Eukaryota; Metazoa; Chordata; Mammalia; Rodentia; Sciuridae. The record is from RNAcentral.